This 497-nucleotide ribosomal RNA is filed under the name uncultured bacterium. RNAcentral describes it as "partial 16S ribosomal RNA". It matches the Rfam family "Bacterial small subunit ribosomal RNA", at positions 28 to 507 of the family's 1533-position model. The record is from RNAcentral.
GAUGAACGCUGGCGGCGUGCCUAAUACAUGCAAGUCGAGCGAACGGACGAGAAGCUUGCUUCUCUGAUGUUAGCGGCGGACGGGUGAGUAACACGUGGAUAACCUACCUAUAAGACUGGGAUAAUUUCGGGAAACCGGAGCUAAUACCGGAUAAUAUUUUGAACCGCAUGGUUCAAAAGUGAAAGACGGUCUUGCUGGCACUUAUAGAUGGAUCCGCGCUGCAUUAGCUAGUUGGUAAGGUAACGGCUUACCAAGGCAACGAUGCAUAGCCGACCUGCGAGGGUGAUCGGCCACACUGGAACUGAGACACGGUCCAGACUCCUACGGGAGGCAGCAGUAGGGAAUCUUCCGCAAUGGGCGAAAGCCUGACGGAGCAACGCCGCGUGAGUGAUGAAGGUCUUCGGAUCGUAAAACUCUGUUAUUAGGGAAGAACAUAUGUGUAAGUAACUGUGCACAUCUUGACGGUACCUAAUCAGAAAGCCACGGCUAACUACGUG